Molecule: ribosomal RNA, 694 nt
Filed under: uncultured bacterium
Lineage: Bacteria
Description: bacterial SSU rRNA
Rfam family: Bacterial small subunit ribosomal RNA
Source: RNAcentral
AACGCUAGCUACAGGCUUAACACAUGCAAGUUGAGGGGCAGCAUGGUCUUAGCUUGCUAAGGCCGAUGGCGACCGGCGCACGGGUGAGUAACACGUAUCCAACCUGCCGUCUACUCUUGGACAGCCUUCUGAAAGGAAGAUUAAUACAAGAUGGCAUCAUGAGUCCGCAUGUUCACAUGAUUAAAGGUAUUCCGGUAGACGAUGGGGAUGCGUUCCAUUAGAUAGUAGGCGGGGUAACGGCCCACCUAGUCUUCGAUGGAUAGGGGUUCUGAGAGGAAGGUCCCCCACAUUGGAACUGAGACACGGUCCAAACUCCUACGGGAGGCAGCAGUGAGGAAUAUUGGUCAAUGGGCGAGAGCCUGAACCAGCCAAGUAGCGUGAAGGAUGACUGCCCUAUGGGUUGUAAACUUCUUUUAUAAAGGAAUAAAGUCGGGUAUGUAUACCCGUUUGCAUGUACUUUAUGAAUAAGGAUCGGCUAACUCCGUGCCAACAGCCGCGGUAAUACGGAGGAUCCGAGCGUUAUCCGGAUUUAUUGGGUUUAAAGGGAGCGUAGAUGGAUGUUUAAGUCAGUUGUGAAAGUUUGCGGCUCAACCGUAAAAUUGCAGUUGAUACUGGAUAUCUUGAGUGCAGUUGAGGCAGGCGGAAUUCGUGGUGUAGCGGUGAAAUGCUUAGAUAUCACGAAGAACUCCGAUUG